GGUUCCUACGAGGGGCAGCAGUGAGGAAUAUUGGUCAAUGGACGAGAGUCUGAACCAUCCAAUUAUCUUUAAGGAUGACUGCCCUAUGGGUUGUAAACUUCUUUUAUAUGGGAAUAAAAUGUUCCACGUGUGGGAUUUUGUAUGUACCAUAUGAAUAAGGAUCGGCUAACUCCGUGCCAGCAGCCGCGGUAAUACUGAUUAUCCGAGCUUUAUCCGUAUUUAUUGUUUUUAAAUUUAUCUUAUUUUUAUUUUUAAUUCAUUUUUGAAAGUUUGCGGCUCAACCGUAAAAUUGCAGUUGAAACUGG
This 305-nucleotide ribosomal RNA is filed under the name uncultured bacterium. RNAcentral's name for it is "bacterial SSU rRNA". It matches the Rfam family "Bacterial small subunit ribosomal RNA", at positions 334 to 636 of the family's 1533-position model. The record is from RNAcentral.